GGCGGGAUGCCCGAGUGGUCAAAGGGAGCGGUCUGUAAAACCGUCGGCUCUGCCUACGAAGGUUCAAAUCCUUCUCCCGCCA
Molecule: transfer RNA, 82 nt
Filed under: Thermoleophilia bacterium
Lineage: Bacteria; Bacillati; Actinomycetota; Thermoleophilia
Also listed under: 3 other names
Description: tRNA-Tyr
Rfam family: tRNA
About the family: Transfer RNA (tRNA) molecules are approximately 80 nucleotides in length. Their secondary structure includes four short double-helical elements and three loops (D, anti-codon, and T loops).
Source: RNAcentral